AACGAACGCUGGCGGCAUGCCUAACACAUGCAAGUCGAACGAGACCUUCGGGUCUAGUGGCGCACGGGUGCGUAACGCGUGGGAAUCUGCCCUUGGGUUCGGGAUAACAGUUGGAAACGACUGCUAAUACCGAAUGAUGACUUCGGUCCAAAGAUUUAUCGCCCAGGGAUGAGCCCGCGUCGGAUUAGUUUGUUGGUGAGGUAAGAGCUCACCAAGGCGACGAUCCGUAGCUGGUCUGAGAGGAUGAUCAGCCACACUGGGACUGAGACACGGCCCAGACUCCUACGGGAGGCAGCAGUGGGGAAUAUUGGACAAUGGGCGAAAGCCUGAUCCAGCAAUGCCGCGUGAGUGAUGAAGGCCUUAGGGUUGUAAAGCCCUUUUACC
RNAcentral lists this ribosomal RNA (384 nucleotides) under uncultured bacterium. RNAcentral describes it as "bacterial SSU rRNA". It matches the Rfam family "Bacterial small subunit ribosomal RNA", at positions 29 to 440 of the family's 1533-position model. The record is from RNAcentral.